This 478-nucleotide ribosomal RNA is filed under the name uncultured bacterium. RNAcentral's name for it is "partial 16S ribosomal RNA". It matches the Rfam family "Bacterial small subunit ribosomal RNA", at positions 28 to 523 of the family's 1533-position model. The record is from RNAcentral.
GACGAACGCUGGCGGCGUGCUUAACACAUGCAAGUCGAACGGUAAGGCCCUUCGGGGUACACGAGUGGCGAACGGGUGAGUAACACGUGGGUGAUCUGCCCUGCACUUCGGGAUAAGCCUGGGAAACUGGGUCUAAUACCGGAGAGGACCACUGCCUGCAUGGGUGGUGGUGGAAAGCUUUUGCGGUGUGGGAUGGGCCCGCGGCCUAUCAGCGUGUUGGUGGGGUGAUGGCCUACCAAGGCGACGACGGGGAGCCGGCCUGAGAGGGUGACCGGCCAGACUGGGACUGAGCUACUGCCCAGGCUCCUACGUGAGGCAGCAGUGGGGAAUAUUGCACAAUGGGCGCAAGCCUGAUGCAGCGACGCCGCGUGAGGGAUGACGGCCUUCGGGUUGUAAACCUCUUUCAGCACCGACGAAGCGCGAGUGACGGUAGGUGCAGAAGAAGGACCGGCCAACUACGUGCCAGCAGCCGCAGUAA